Molecule: ribosomal RNA, 501 nt
Filed under: Fusarium oxysporum
Lineage: Eukaryota; Fungi; Ascomycota; Sordariomycetes; Hypocreales; Nectriaceae
Description: eukaryotic LSU rRNA
Rfam family: 5.8S ribosomal RNA (bases 152-305)
Source: RNAcentral
UUACCGAGUUUACAACUCCCAAACCCCUGUGAACAUACCACUUGUUGCCUCGGCGGAUCAGCCCGCUCCCGGUAAAACGGGACGGCCCGCCAGAGGACCCCUAAACUCUGUUUCUAUAUGUAACUUCUGAGUAAAACCAUAAAUAAAUCAAAACUUUCAACAACGGAUCUCUUGGUUCUGGCAUCGAUGAAGAACGCAGCAAAAUGCGAUAAGUAAUGUGAAUUGCAGAAUUCAGUGAAUCAUCGAAUCUUUGAACGCACAUUGCGCCCGCCAGUAUUCUGGCGGGCAUGCCUGUUCGAGCGUCAUUUCAACCCUCAAGCACAGCUUGGUGUUGGGACUCGCGUUAAUUCGCGUUCCUCAAAUUGAUUGGCGGUCACGUCGAGCUUCCAUAGCGUAGUAGUAAAACCCUCGUUACUGGUAAUCGUCGCGGCCACGCCGUUAAACCCCAACUUCUGAAUGUUGACCUCGGAUCAGGUAGGAAUACCCGCUGAACUUAAGCAU